UCUCUGCAGCUCUACCAGGCAACCCCAAAGGAAGUUCCCACCUCAGCAAAGCUAGCAGGAGCCACAGGAAGCUGCUGUAGGCAUCUCAAACAAGACCUCCAGUACCUGGAUCUCUCAAUGAAAACUAGACUACAUAGAGAGAUUGUCCCCCUCCAUAUCACUGCACCUAGAAGAUAAGCGUCCAUCAUUCCAGGGGAGAAGGGAGCAGAGAUCCUUUGGAGCCAGAAGACCCUUCCAGAGUUUAACAAUGUGUAGAUCUGGCACAAAGAUCACUUGCUGGACCAUCCUGGAUAGACAGGACACUAGUAUCCAGUACUGCAGCUAAAGAAUUAGCUCAGCCCGUUUCCCCAGUGAUACCUGCCAGGAAGAAACCUCCCUCCACAUGCAGAGCAAAAUCAGAAUCUUACGUGUGGUGACUACAUUUAAGCCAACUGUCCUAGUAGCAUCUACACCGUUUCUGAGGAACUGACAGGCUACACUCUGAACCACUACAGCUCAAUGCACCGCCACCCUUUUCAACAGGAGAUGAAGGUCUGGCCCUGGCCUUUUAACAUAAAUGCAAUUCAUAGUGUGUGAUGGAGUAGGGGCUGUCUGUGUGGGGAAUGAGAGAGCAGGGGAGGAUUUUAGGGGAUGGACGAUACCGGAGCCUGUAACCUGAGCUAGGUAAGGGAGGGGAAAGGUCAACACCUUUGCCCGGGAAGGAGGACAAAGGAAGGGAGUGGCAGGAGGGAAGCAGUUUGAA
Molecule: long non-coding RNA, 742 nt
Organism: Gopherus flavomarginatus (Mexican gopher tortoise)
Lineage: Eukaryota; Metazoa; Chordata; Testudines; Testudinidae
Exons: 3
Source: RefSeq, a predicted model, not a curated record